UGAAGUUGGAUUCGCUAGUAAUCGCGCAUCAGCCAUGGCGCGGUGAAUACGUUCCCGGGCCUUGUACACACCGCCCGUCAAGCCAUGGGAGCCGGGGGUGCCUGAAGUUCGUGACCGCAAGGAGCGACCUAGGGCAAAACUGGUGACUGGGGCUAAGUCGUAACAAGGUAGC
RNAcentral lists this ribosomal RNA (172 nucleotides) under uncultured bacterium. RNAcentral's name for it is "partial 16S ribosomal RNA". It matches the Rfam family "Bacterial small subunit ribosomal RNA", at positions 1321 to 1500 of the family's 1533-position model. The record is from RNAcentral.